AAAAAAAAAAAAAAAAAAAAGAGAAGUAGAAGAAGGAAAAUUUCAUGCCCUACUGUAACUUGAGAAUGCUUCAAGUAUCAAAAUGAAGUCUAAAUAAUUUUUCUCACCAUCAUCUUUCCAUGCUGAAAUGGCAUUCACCUCAAAUAUGGGAGUUCCGUCCAAUUGCAACGGUAAGAUUUCACUAUAACAGAGGAGAAAAAUACUAGUUUUUUCCGCUUACCUCUUUUGCACACCAAAAAAGCCUUAGCAAUAUAUAUAUAUAUAGGCUCCCAGGGCAUAUCUCCCAGUGGCAAAGGGGAGGGCGAAUAGGGCUCAACGCGGCAGUGUGCAGAGUUCGAUUCUCCACAAGGUGGAAUUGGCUUUGUUGCAAGCGGGAGUUACCAUAUGGGUUAACAGCCUUGGCCUAUCCAUAUGCUCUCCACCCUAGCUCCUGGGAAGCACAUCCUGCGAUUUACCUCCUCCACGAUGACCCAUGGCAGGGUCGGUAGGGACCCUUAAGGUUGGGGUUCAACCUUUUUUAAUAUAUAUAUAUAUAUAUAGGAAUGUCAGAGACACUCUAUGAUGCAAAGAAGAUAAAUACAAGUUUUUCCAUCAAACCUCUCUCACAAACCCAAAACCAGUUCCACAAUAUUCAUUUAAAUGGGGUUGGAAUAGAGCGGCCUAACACAUGAAUAAAUCAAUAUACCUCUAAACUCAAAACACAAAAACAUUUCAUGUUAUAUGUAUGAUUGGUGUAGAUUAUGACUAGACUCCAUACAGACCAACAUCUUCAACCUUUCAAAAGCGGACAUAACUCUCUGACACAUGAUACAAGUCCACUAACCAAUACGCAACUACAAUUAUUUAAUAACUAACACAAUCAGCCUCCUUUCACAUCAUUUUCCAACCAUACCACAUUUUUCCCAAACCAUCAAUCUUAAAACAUGUAGAACAUCUUUGGGAUCCUAAUGAACUCUUUGUGGACACAUUGAUCAGCGAGGGGGUUCACCACAUUUACAAUGAGCUAAUAUUUUCCUAAAAUGUGAACAAAACGAACUAGUAGCCCCAAGAACUUUUGUAAGUACUCACUAUAAUCUUUCAUUAUGAAACUUUCUUAUUCUCUUUGCAAUGUUAUAUCUUAUCCACCUCGUAGUGCCACCAUCUCAUUUAAAGCUCAAUUUACAACACUAAGCAAAUUAAUAUUAGCGUCACAUUGUACGCACUACCUUCAUGAGAAAAAUUUUACAGGAUCAACCUGGUUAUGCACCAUGUAAUUAUUAGUUGCCAAUUUUUGGUAACUAGUAAAUCGAUGAGCAGGACUUUAAGCAUGCCAGCCUGUUAAUAAAUUUUCUUGUGCAAAUUCCUAUUAUACAGUGACACAUCAUGUAUGAAUCUGCAAUAUACUGAAAAAAUUGUUCGAAUUUCUUAGCUACUGGAAAGUCAGUGUCUGAUCAUGAUUGGCCGAUGAAUAAGAUUUCAGAUCAUAUGCAUUUAAAGCAGUUUCAUAUGAAGACAAAACGUGGACAUGAUAAUAGAGUUCAAAAGGACAGUUUUUUAUUGUGUGUAGUCGAGAAAAUGCAAUCCUCUUAGUUUGUGUAAUCAAUGUUAAAAAUAUUUGCAUCAAAUCUCUUAAUAGUUGUUGUUUGGGAGUGCCUUCAUUGUAGUUUUCUCCGAACUGUUUCUAUAAUAUGUUAAUAAUUCAACCACCAAAUCAAUAGUGGAUAAUGGUAGAAGAACAGAUCAUGAACGAAAAUCCUAGACAUGAGAAUAGAGUUAAAAAUUCUGUUUCCUUUCUCAAAUGCACUAAAGAAAACACAAUCCUCUUACUCGUUGAAUCGAUGACCAAACUGUUUCAAUGAAACUUUUAAAAAUUGUCUGCUAGUGCAGAGUGCCUUUCGCGUCUUUUACGAAUUGGUUUGUAGAAGUUUCCAUAUACACUCUAAUAUAUAGAAAUCUUAACAGUUAAUACUUCAACCCUCUAAACCAAUAAGAUCACAAGGUAGAGGGAACAGGUCAAGGCAAAUGACCACACAAGUUUUCAGAAACUGUACAUUUCUCCCUUACAAAAUAGAAAUUUUUAACAGUGUCUUUAGAAAAGAAUAUAUUUUUCCCCUCAACACAUAUUUGAAAUAAAAAAUAAAAAAUAAAAAAAAAAUUCUUUAUAUAGCCCCCAUAAACAUAUAUCAGCAUACAUCAUCUAGAACUGUGUAUCUAGAUUCACCAAUGCCCCAGAUGAAAAAAAAAUGGAAAUAUUUUACAAUUUGGUCAGUGACAACCAAUUAUCGAAAGCACAAAAGUCAUGGGCAAAUCAAUCCCGAACGUGCAGGACUGAGAGUAUGUUAUAGUUCGAGUAAAUUAUGGAGGGUAUAAUAGAUGAAAGAAUGCCUAAACGUCAACGUGAUAAGCAAGCUGCCAUUUCGAUACUUAAUUCAUCAGAAUGUAAGAGUUGAGAAUAAACAACGAUUCAAUCAAUUGAAAAAUCCUCGUCAAACAUCUAAAAAAUCAACAAACCCUCAGAUAAUGAGAAAAAUUCUUACAGCCCACUAAAUAAUUGUAAUGACAGGGACAAGAAAAUAACCCAAUUUUGUAAGAUAUAAUAAGUGAAUAGAUAAGUGGAAAUACACGAGAUAAAAUUGGAGCAAGAGAAAGAGACAUACAGUGGAGUUGAAACCGACGACUGAAUUCAAUGAAACAGCCAUUUUAUAUGUUUAUGGGUAGUCUUUUUAAGGGCCAACCAUUCAAUCUUUCGCAAUAGGAGGGAUGAAAAUGGGGUUUCGAGUUUGUGAUAAUUGAAGAAAGCAGAGGAGUCAAUUGUGUUGAAGAGCAAAGAUUAGGCGGUGCGUGAAUUACACAUCUGAUCACUAGCGCGUCUAUCAC
Molecule: long non-coding RNA, 2856 nt
Filed under: Olea europaea (common olive)
Lineage: Eukaryota; Viridiplantae; Streptophyta; Magnoliopsida; Lamiales; Oleaceae
Description: long non-coding RNA (OEUR_LNC000321)
Source: RNAcentral